GGGACACGUGGUAUCCUGUCUGAAUAUGGGGGGACCAUCCUCCAAGGCUAAAUACUCCUGACUGACCGAUAGUGAACCAGUACCGUGAGGGAAAGGCGAAAAGAACCCCGGCGAGGGGAGUGAAAAAGAACCUGAAACCGUGUACGUACAAGCAGUGGGAGCCUCUUUAUGGGGUGACUGCGUACCUUUUGUAUAAUGGGUCAGCGACUUAUAUUCUGUAGCAAGGUUAACCGAAUAGGGGAGCCGAAGGGAAACCGAGUCUUAACUGGGCGUUAAGUUGCAGGGUAUAGACCCGAAACCCGGUGAUCUAGCCAUGGGCAGGUUGAAGGUUGGGUAACACUAACUGGAGGACCGAACCGACUAAUGUUGAAAAAUUAGCGGAUGACUUGUGGCUGGGGGUGAAAGGCCAAUCAAACCGGGAGAUAGCUGGUUCUCCCCGAAAGCUAUUUAGGUAGCGCCUCGUGAAUUCAUCUCCGGGGGUAGAGCACUGUUUCGGCAAGGGGGUCAUCCCGACUUACCAACCCGAUGCAAACUGCGAAUACCGGAGAAUGUUAUCACGGGAGACACACGGCGGGUGCUAACGUCCGUCGUGAAGAGGGAAACAACCCAGACCGCCAGCUAAGGUCCCAAAGUCAUGGUUAAGUGGGAAACGAUGUGGGAAGGCCCAGACAGCCAGGAUGUUGGCUUAGAAGCAGCCAUCAUUUAAAGAAAGCGUAAUAGCUCACUGGUCGAGUCGGCCUGCGCGGAAGAUGUAACGGGGCUAAACCAUGCACCGAAGCUGCGGCAGCGACACUAUGUGUUGUUGGGUAGGGGAGCGUUCUGUAAGCCUGUGAAGGUGUGCUGUGAGGUAUGCUGGAGGUAUCAGAAGUGCGAAUGCUGACAUAAGUAACGAUAAAGCGGGUGAAAAGCCCGCUCGCCGGAAGACCAAGGGUUCCUGUCCAACGUUAAUCGGGGCAGGGUGAGUCGACCCCUAAGGCGAGGCCGAAAGGCGUAGUCGAUGGGAAACAGGUUAAUAUUCCUGUACUUGGUGUUACUGCGAAGGGGGGACGGAGAAGGCUAUGUUGGCCGGGCGACGGUUGUCCCGGUUUAAGCGUGUAGGCUGGUUUUCCAGGCAAAUCCGGAAAAUCAAGGCUGAGGCGUGAUGACGAGGCACUACGGUGCUGAAGCAACAAAUGCCCUGCUUCCAGGAAAAGCCUCUAAGCAUCAGGUAACAUCAAAUCGUACCCCAAACCGACACAGGUGGUCAGGUAGAGAAUACCAAGGCGCUUGAGAGAACUCGGGUGAAGGAACUAGGCAAAAUGGUGCCGUAACUUCGGGAGAAGGCACGC
RNAcentral lists this ribosomal RNA (1328 nucleotides) under Escherichia coli. RNAcentral describes it as "partial 23S ribosomal RNA". It matches the Rfam family "Bacterial large subunit ribosomal RNA", at positions 419 to 1751 of the family's 2925-position model. The record is from RNAcentral. Lineage: Bacteria; Pseudomonadati; Pseudomonadota; Gammaproteobacteria; Enterobacterales; Enterobacteriaceae.